UAUAGUCCAACUAUCAAAUAGAGAAGUUGGAAGAGGGUGGCUAAAUCUCAAAAAAAUUGAGGGUGAUGCCUAUGUUUGUUUUGGCAGAUCCGAAAAAGGAGUAAGUAUGUCAAGUACAUGAGGCGUUAACGCUAAGGUUCGCUUUUGCGCCAUUAGUUAUACGUAGCAUUGAUAA
RNAcentral lists this small RNA (175 nucleotides) under uncultured Atopostipes sp. RNAcentral's name for it is "Listeria sRNA rli28". The stretch from base 19 to 172 matches the Rfam family "Listeria sRNA rli28", at positions 25 to 186 of the family's 186-position model. Lineage: Bacteria; Bacillati; Bacillota; Bacilli; Lactobacillales; Carnobacteriaceae. The record is from RNAcentral.